Molecule: long non-coding RNA, 818 nt
Organism: Amphimedon queenslandica
Lineage: Eukaryota; Metazoa; Porifera; Demospongiae; Haplosclerida; Niphatidae
Exons: 3
Source: RefSeq, a predicted model, not a curated record
UGCAUUUACCCACCACUGCCAUGACAUAAGUUAUAUCACAAAAUAAUUUUGGUGAUAAUUUUGAAGGUCAAAUAAACACAACACAAACAACAAUGUACAGUUUACACCAUCAGCAAAUGUAGAGAAUAAGUCUAGCAACACAUCUGUAUCAUACUGUGGCCCAUGGUUAAACAACAUGGACUACUAAUACAUGACAAGUGAUAGCUAACGUAAUACUGUAAUUUUCAUUUGUACUACAAACUUGGUACUUAGCCAUAUAAUUCAUUUUAUCAUGUUCAUUGUGUCCCACGAUCAUUAUUAUAACACUAUAAAACCAAACAUUCAUUGUCCCACUUACGGGUAUAGAAAUAAUAGCUUUCUUGCUUUUCCUUUCCAUUUAGCAAUGUCACACAUGGUCCUUUUAUUGCCAUAGAACAUAGAACUUUGAUUCUCCAUUAAAAGUAUUUCAUUUAUGACCUUGAAGUAAUCAAAAUGAUAGCAUAAAGUAGCUUUAAUAGUGGUCCAGUAAAGAUUUCCAGCUAAAAACAAAGUACAACCUAAGUUCAGCCAUUUUCUUGGGUAACACCUUUUCCGGUUGCAAAGAAAAUUCUUCCGGUUUAGGGAGGGUGCAGUUCGGCUGCACAGUCCUGCUGUCGUCUUGCUUUAGGCAGCUCAUUCUUAUAGGCAGGUACUGCAUUUCUCUGUUCUCAAUGACUUGGUAUUUCACUCCUCCUCAUACUAACUCAAGAGAAUGUCGCCAAAUGAUUAAGGGAAAGAAAUACUGAAGAGGGCUUUAAAAUGUCCAAUUAGAACAAGUAAGUGUUUAAAGAUCGAUAUCA